CUUCCUGGACAUAUCCUGGACCAGGCUUUUCUGCUGAAGCACCACUGUGUGAGGAAGCCAUCAGAUCUGUGCACCAUUAAUGUGAGUGGCCUGAAGUUCUCCAAGGUGAGGUCAGCCAGCAAAGAUGUGAUUGGGGUGAGCCAGACUUGAGGUGGCGCACCUGGCUGUUGUGGUUUGUCUCUUGCACCUCCAGAGUCCCUAGGGACUGGAAAUCUGGUCACGAAGAAGGAGGGAGAGGAGAGUCAGACAAGGAUUUAUUGGGUUGAAACAAUAUUCAGACACAAACUUUUGCUACAAAUUUUAUAUUGCCCUUGUCCUAUUUGAUAUGAAUUAAAGAAAAUUGCCUUAUGGGCCAGGCGUGGUGGCUCAGGGCUGUAAUCCCAGCACUUUGGGAGGCCGAGGUGGGUGGAUCACAAGGUCAGGAGCUCAAGACCAGCCUGGCCAAGAUGGUGAAACUCCAUCUCUACUAAAAAUACAAAAAAUCAGCCAAGCAUGGUAGCAGGCACCUGUAAUCCCAGCUACUUGGGAGGCUGAGGCAGAGAAUUGCUUGAACCCCUGAGGCAGAGGUUGCAGUGAGCCAAGAUCGUGCCAGUGCACUCCAGCCUGGGUGACAGUGAGACUCUGUCACCAAAAAAAAAAAGAAAA
Molecule: long non-coding RNA, 645 nt
Filed under: Homo sapiens (human)
Lineage: Eukaryota; Metazoa; Chordata; Mammalia; Primates; Hominidae
Description: non-protein coding lnc-XRRA1-1:5
Source: RNAcentral